Molecule: ribosomal RNA, 253 nt
Filed under: uncultured bacterium
Lineage: Bacteria
Description: partial 16S ribosomal RNA
Rfam family: Bacterial small subunit ribosomal RNA
Source: RNAcentral
GACGGAAGGUGCAAGCGUUGCUCGGAAUUACUGGGCGUAAAGGGCGCGUAGGCGGCCUACUAAGUCAGACGUGAAAUCCCCCGGCUUAACCUGGGAACUGCGUCUGAUACUGGAAGGCUUGAGUAUGGGAGAGGGAUGUAGAAUUCCAGGUGUAGCGGUGAAAUGCGUAGAUAUCAGGAGGAACACCGGUGGCGAAGGCGGUUCUCUGGGCAUGAUCUGACGCUGAGGAGCGAAAGUGUGGGGAGCGAACAGG